This 2023-nucleotide ribosomal RNA is filed under the name Epicyliosoma sp. GG-2001. Its description in RNAcentral is "SSU rRNA". It matches the Rfam family "Eukaryotic small subunit ribosomal RNA". Lineage: Eukaryota; Metazoa; Arthropoda; Diplopoda; Sphaerotheriida; Sphaerotheriidae. The record is from RNAcentral.
UCAUAUGCUUGUUUCAAAGGUUAAGCCAUGCAUGUGUAAGUCCUUCCCUUGGAUGCCACAGUGCGAAAGCAUUGCGAGCUAUCGAUACAUACGGUAAAACUGCGGAUGGCUCAGUAUUAACGGUCAGAAGACCCAGGGUAAGCCUUGGAAAGUAUCGAAAAUAAACAAAAUAAGGCAUUUUCCAUAUACAUGGAUAACUGUGGCAAUUCUAGAGCUAAUACAUGCCCGAAACGAAAGCACCUGCCCGGCUCUCUCACCAGUGAAGAGGCCGUAAGUGGGGCUUCGUACUUUAUUACAAAAAGACCAAUCGCCAAUGUUUCGACUCGCGCACGUGCACCGAAUCCUCGGUCGCCGCGCGCUUGCUCGCAAACAAAAAAAAAAACCCCCGUUGAUGAAUCAGUAUAACAUGUUUCGCGAUCGCUAAGGCCUCAGCGCCGGCGACGCACCCUAUUGCAAGUCUGCCUUAUCACACUAGAUGGCCAGUACGGGGCGAGCCAUGGUGGUAACGGGUGACGGGGAAUCAGGGUUUNNNUCCGGAGAGGGAGCCUGAGAGAUUGCUACUACAUCCAAGGAAGGCAGCAGGCACGCAACUUACCCACUCCCGACACGGGGAGGUAGUGACGAUAAAUAACAAUACGGGACUCUUCCGAGGCCCCGUAAUUGGAAUGAGCACACUCUAAAUCCUUUAACUAGGAUCCAUUGGAGGGCAAGUCUGGUGCCAGCAGCCGCGGUAAUUCCAGCUCCAAUGGCGUAUAUUAAACUUGUUGCGGUUAAAAAGCUCGUAGCUGGAUCUGGGUUCUAGUGCCGGCAGCCCUGGCUUAGCUCGGUGGAGCGGCUGGGACCAAACUGUCGAUAAAAUUUCCGACGGAAAUUGCACUGAACAAAAAUAGUACGACUAUUUUGACCGGCCUCUCUCGUCAUGCUCUUUACUGAGUGUCUCGGGUGGGCCGGAACGUUUACUUUGAAUAAAUCAGAGUGCUCAAAGCAGGCGACUUUGCUCGGCCUGAAUGAUACAGCAUGGAAUAAUAGAACAAGCCCUCGGUUUGAUUCUGGUUGGUCUUACGAAUGACGAGGAAAUGAUUAAUAGGGACUGACGGGGGCAUACGUAUUGCGGCGCGAGAGGUGAAAUUCUAGGACCGUCGCAAGACGACCGACUGCGAAAGCAUUUGCCAAGAAUGUUUUCAUUAGUCAAGAACGAAAGUUAGAGGUUCGAAGGCGAUCAGAUACCGCCCUAGUUCUAACCAUAAAUGAUGCCAACCAGCAAUGUGUCGAGUUCCUCCAAUGACUCGACAUGAAGCUUCCGGGAAACCAAAGUUUUUGGGUUCCGGGGGAAGUAUGGUUGCAAAGCUGAAACUUAAAGGAAUUGACGGAAGGGCACCACCAGGAGUGGAGCCUGCGGCUUAAUUUGACUCAACACGGGAAAACUCACCCGGCCCGGACACUGGAAGGAUUGACAGAUUGAGAGCUCUUUCUUGAUUCAGUGGUUGGUGGUGCAUGGCCGUUCUUAGUUGGUGGAACGAUUUGUCUGGUUAAUUCCGAUAACGAACGAGACCCUCGCCUACUAAAUAGACGACCGACGGGCCUGACUCGUCCGGUACGAUCUCUUCUUAGAGGGACAGGCGGCUUACGCCGCACGAAACUGGGCAAUAACAGGUCUGUGAUGCCCUUAGAUGUCCGGGGCCGCACGCGCGCUACAAUGAAGGGAUCAGCGGGUGCAUUAUCCCCAGUCCGAAAGGACCGGGUAAUCCGCUGAAACCCCUUCGUGAUUGGAAUCGGGGUUUGCAACUUUUCCCCAUGAACGAGGAAUUCCCAGUAAGCGCGGGUCAUAAACCGGCGCUGAUUACGUCCCUGCCCUUUGUACACACCGCCCGUCGCUACUACCGAUUGAAUGAUUUAGUGAGGUCUUUGGACCGGUGUUCGCCGGGUCGAGAUCCUCCGGGGUCGCCAAAGACUCGGCGUCGUACGCUGGAAAGAUGACCGAACUUGAUUAUUUAGAGGAAGUAAAAGUCGUAACAAGGUUUCC